CCACGCCCCCCACAGACCACAUUCACAAAAGUGGGGGGCGGGGCCAAAUCGUCUUUAUUCCAUUGUGGGUGGAGCUUGGUGGUGACCACGCCCCUCACAAACCACAUUCAAAAAGUAGGGGCGGAGCCCAAAUCAUCUUUAAUUCAUUGUGGGCGGAGCUUUGAUGUGACCACACCCCCCACAGACCACACCCAACAAAGGGGGCGGGGCCAAACCAUCUUUAUUCCAUGGUGGGCGGAGCUUGGUGGUGACCACGCCCCCCACAGACAACAUCCAAAAAGGGGGGCGGGGCCAGAGAUCCUUAUUCCAAUGUGGGUGGAGCUUGGUGGUGACCACGCCCCCUUUCCCCACCCUAACAAACCACACCAACAAAGGGGGCGGGGCCAAACCAUCUUUAUUCCAUGGUGGGCGGAGCUUGGUGGUGACCACGCCCCUACAAACCACAUCC
This 448-nucleotide long non-coding RNA is filed under the name Zonotrichia albicollis (white-throated sparrow). Its description in RNAcentral is "lncRNA (ENSZALG00000001714.1)". Lineage: Eukaryota; Metazoa; Chordata; Aves; Passeriformes; Passerellidae. The record is from RNAcentral.